CCCUUAGAUGUCCUGGGCUGCACGCGCGCUACACUGACACAUUCAGCGAGUGUUCCUUGUCCGGUGGGAUUGGGUACUCUUCUUAACGUGUGUCGUGAUGGGGAUAGAUUAUUGCAAUUAUUAAUCUUCAACGAGGAAUUCCUAGUAAGUGCAAGUCAUCAGCUUGCGCUGAUUACGUCCCUGCCCUUUGUACACACCGCCCGUCGCACCUACCGAUUGAAUGGUCCGGUGAAGCCUCCGGAUUGGCGCGCACCUCGGUGCCGCCGAGAAGUUGGCUAAAUCUUACCAUUUAGAGGAAGGUGAANUCGUANCA
RNAcentral lists this ribosomal RNA (313 nucleotides) under uncultured eukaryote. RNAcentral's name for it is "partial 18S ribosomal RNA". It matches the Rfam family "Eukaryotic small subunit ribosomal RNA", at positions 1470 to 1796 of the family's 1831-position model. The record is from RNAcentral.